AGAUUGCAGAAAUGUUGCAUAGACCUUGCAUUGAAACAUUGUAAUAUUGCAUAGAAGUUGCGAAAUGUUUCUGCCAUAGACAUAGUAUAUCUAGACCGAGUGUUGAGGAGUGGGGGCCGAUGCUCACGUAGAAAAGGACAUACUCUGUUUCGUGCCCCUUGCGUUCUCUCUCAUUCAUACAUGCGUAGAAAUAGAGGAACAGGGAAUUGGGAACGGUGGAACUGCGUAGUGAAGACCAUACGUACAUGUGCGUACAUGAUCCUGCAACUGUUUCAAACCGAAAAUUCCAUCGAAGAAAAAUAAUACAAAAUCAAAAGUGCGACUAGAAUUGCAAUAGUUAACAAUGGUUAAAUGCUACAUAUGCUGGAAAGAACAUUCUGUUUUAUUAUCGCGGCAAUUUCACAGACAGCACAAGGAUGUCCUUAAGACGUCCAAAGGGCAUCUAGGACAUGUAGGAUAUCC
Long non-coding RNA from Formica exsecta, 462 nucleotides. RefSeq lists it as uncharacterized. The record is from RefSeq and is a predicted model, not a curated record. The transcript has 3 exons. NCBI's taxonomy places the organism in Eukaryota, Metazoa, Arthropoda, Insecta, Hymenoptera, Formicidae.